RNAcentral lists this long non-coding RNA (24549 nucleotides) under Coffea arabica (coffee). RNAcentral's name for it is "long non-coding RNA (CARA_LNC006074)". Lineage: Eukaryota; Viridiplantae; Streptophyta; Magnoliopsida; Gentianales; Rubiaceae. The record is from RNAcentral.
UUUUUUUUUUUUUUGGGUUUCAGAUUAAUAGAAAUUCCAAAACUUACAAGGGAGAAAGACAGAGAUUGAAGACUUUGAGUCUCCAAAACUAAUGUCCUACCGGUUAAAUUGAGUCUUAAAAAUGUGCAAUUCUUACCUAAAGCUUGCUAUACACAAUACAAAGUUAAUAACAAAGGUUAUGUACACAUAAUCUAUAAUCUCCAAGUAAUUUGAAGACUCAAAUUUAGUCUAGAUGAUAAGAUUUAGCUGCCCCUAUCAGCCCUUAUCUUCCUAGUGACACUAUGGACCGUUUAGAGCUAUCCUAUUUUUGUUAAAAAAAAAAAAAAAAGUGUUUUUGGAAGACAAAAACACUUUUAACAUAUUUGAUUAGUAUCGUUCUUUGAAUUUAGCAGUCGAAAUUUUGGUCAUAGAGCACUUUUUGAAUAAAUUCAAAAUUGGCGCUUUUAGAAUAAUUUUUUGUAUCUUAAAAAUUAAAAAAUUAAUUUUAACCAUUUUAUUAUAAAGUUUGAAUUAAAUGAAGAGAUAAUAUGUUUUAAAAAUUCAAACUUACACAUUAUAAAACAAAAAAGUUCGUACGCAAGUAUGACUAAGCAUUUAAUAACUAUUAUAGCCAAAACCCCUUAUCACCUAUGGGGCAUAAUUUUGGUUCCGUUGCGGGCCAAGAAAUAGAUUGAGGUUUCAAUGCCAAACACGUGACAAUUGAUCAAGCUAAAACAAUUGAUGAUUUGACAAACCCCGCGAGGCCGGAUUGUACUGCACCGUCGGAUUCUACAUCCUGAUCUUAUCGAAAUGUUGAGGCCGCAUUUUAGAAUAAAGCAUAAAAUUCUCGAUAUACUGAUGCCAAAAACAAGAUUCGGAAAUAUGUCAAUCAUAGAUGAAAUAAGAAAAUUUACGUUGAUUGAGCAAAUUUUAAGAUGUCUAAAUAUAAGUAUAUUGCAUGAACUAAUUUCUUAUAUUCGCAAUAGUAAAGGUUUGAAUGAGAGGAUGGAUUGGACGAUUCGAGGGGAAAGAGUGCAAGGGUGCGUUUGAUAAAAUUAAAUUUUGAAAAUUAGCGAAUUAUUAAGUACUAAUUUUAAUACAUUUGAGCGUAUACAUUACAGUAAGUGAUAAGUGCAUAAUUCAUCACUUAUUUUUUGAAGCAAAUUUUGUCUAGAAAAUUCAAUACCACUUUAAUGAAUUUAGAUGUUUUAAUUUUGAUUAUCAAAAGCUUCUGAAUAUAUUAAGAUCUGAAUCCAUUAAUUCCAAGUGUUGAAUUGGAUUAGGAUCUAAAUGAAAGAUUUCAAAUUUGACCCCUACAUAUACAUUUUCACCGCUAUACUAUUAGAUGCAUGACACAUAAACACAUAAUUUGAACUUGAAUUUGAAAUUUAGAUGCAUCUUGACACCAUCCAAUUCCAACCGUUCAUAUACCGUCGCUGUCAAUAUAUAUAAAAUUAACUAAAAAAAAAAAUCAAAUUUUCUAAACUUGGGUGCGGUCCUCGAUCUGACCAUCCCUAACUCCGCCAUCAAUGUCAACGAGCCUACAUUUCAACGGCCGUACUUAAGGUACGUUUGGUCUCUCCGAUCAACGUGCUCUAAAUCUCUACACCUUUUUCAUGCUUUAAAGAAAAAUCUUUCUUUAAAUGGGAAACUUCCACAAAGCGACUAGAGUCGAAAUUUCUCAAGUACUCAUUACCUAAUCCAUUCCUGUUAGCAAAGAACCGUCUGAAAAUGAUAGCAAAGCAAAAAAAAAAAAAAAAAAAUUAAUGGUGGUUACUUUACUACCUUCGACCGCAGACGCCCUUCCAUCCUUGAAAUUUCCUAAAGUUCAUUUGAUUACAAACUUACGUGUCUCGGUGUACAAUUGACUCUGCAUAUUUUAGAUUUGUCAACAAGUGUAAAAAAUUUGUCUAAUGUCAAUUGUGACUAAAUCAUCAGCCAAUAUAGCCAACACUUACCGGAUAAGGAUCUGAGUACAAUUGUGCUUCGUGCGACUCCAUUCGAUCGUUGUACAUGUUUAAAAUUUUAGUGUACAAUUAUAUCGUAAUAUUGUAUUGAAUAUAUAUCAAAUAUUUUAUUUAUCUAUGUACAUCAAUUUUACCUCGAACGUAAGAAUGUAACAUAAUUAUAAUUAUACACCGCCAAUUAACGUAAAAUGUAUAAUAAUCAGAUUGAUCCUACCAGAUCCCAACAGCUAUAGCCCCCCUCUCCCAACACGUACUACUAUUAUAAAUCUUCAUGCAUUGAAUAAGAUUUCUGAUGUGAUGGUAUUAGGUAAGCAAGUUGCUAUGCUAGGUACCCAUGAUUGAUUUUUGGCGAUUGACUGUCUUGGCAAGCCCCAAAAGACAAGGUCCAAGAAAAUUAGCUAUAUCUUUUUUAGAAGUUUUGUAUAGCUGUCCUGCUCACCUCAUGUAUGGACUAACAGUAGUAGUAUUGGAAGAGAGGUGAAUUUGGUGUUCGGUGGACUUGGAAACAAUCAAUUCAUAGGCUUUCUGAAAUCAACCACUGAUAAUACUGCCUAACAAUUUCAUUGACUUCAUUUCUUCAUUCGCUUUUGAAACAAGACCACCAUUAAUAAUUUUGCCCUGGAUUAAAUCCAAAGUGGAGUUCAUUAUUGUAAUUAGAUCUGAAAACGAUUGGUAUCAGUUUAUUUCCUGAUUUUUGUUUAGGCUAAAAACCAAAUCGCUCCAUUCAAAGAUAGGAUUGUAGUAAUUUGUUUAACCAUUAGCUAUUCCAACAAUUCACGUACCAUCUGUAAGAUUAAAUCUACAUCAAUUGAACCCCCCAAAAAAAAUAAAAAAGAAAGUUAUUUCAAUUAAACUCAUACAAUAGAAACGAAGAAAAGGUUAAAAAGAAAGAAUGUAUCACAAUGAAGAUGGGAAAUUUUGGUAUAGGGUUAGGGGUGUUUACGACCAUCGAUUAUAGUCACACCGUAUGUUUAUGACAAAAUAACCAUUCACUCUAACUCUAAUACUCAAAUUUUAAAUAAUUAGUAGGUGGGUUGAAUUAAGUGAUACGAUGAGACGACUGGUAAAUAGAAUGUUCUAAAUUUAAAAUCUCACACUUACAAAAAAAAAAAUUUUAAUUAGACACAUUCUAUAUAAUUAAUCUGAGCUAUUAGUCUCAUAUGGAAUCAGUAAUCAUUUUUACUUGCACCUACAAUAUUCAAGACUCGACGGUCUCGGUUCUUGCUUUAUUAAAAAAAAAUGAAAGGAAGGUUUUAUCCUCUCUUUUUUUUUCGAGUAAUAAAGAAGAAUAAAGGAUUGAAAAAAAAGGGAAAGCAUCUCAACGAAAUGAACUGUGAGAUCCAGAAAUGGGACCAACCAAGAUCAACAUCGUAAACAUUCCCACAAAGAAACCGAGAUUUGCGUUCCAAAAAUUAAUUGUGAGAUUACUACCCUUCAGGUAAGGAGCCGCCGCCGAAUAUUCCUCCUGCUAUAUUUUAACACAACGAUUUGCCACCUGGUACUAUUUCUGGCCCCAAAAGCCCUAAUCUCUCUCUUUCAUCCUCUGCUUUUGCGCCGCUAUCACGGCCCCAUGCCAAUCCCUGUCGCCUCACGCCCUAACCGGCCCACUGACAACGUUCUUUUCUUGUUCCCACUUCCCAUUUUCAUCCCUACGCGUCACACCAUCCAACGCUAUGGUCUCGUAUGUGGUACAGCAUAGUAUCGAUGAACAGUUUCUACUUCGGCUAGGGUUGGUUUCUACUUCGUAGUUCGUACCAAAUUAAUUUCAAAUUUCUAUUUCUGAAUUUUAGAAAAUUGUGUAUGAAGAAUUGGUUUCUACUACUAUAACAAAUAAAAAACUCUCAUUUUUUCUACUUUUUUUUCAUAAUUUUUGGCACUUGAUCACCUUUUGGAUCAAAUUUUGAUCGGAGUAAGUCACAUACACAUCACUUGAUCAGAUUUAAAAAACAGUUCUUGCAACUUACUUCGUUUGUUAACUCAAUUCCAUAUUUAAUUCAUUUGUUAAUCAAUUACCUCUAGAAUAGUGUUGGCACUAGGGGUGGGCAAAAAAACCCGCCGAUCCGAAAACCCGAUGAACCCGAUCCGAUCCGAUCCGAAAAAUAGGAUAUCCGAUCCGAUUUUUCUUAGCGGGGCAGAUGAGGGUCGGGUACCCGAAAAAUCGGGUACGGAUACGGAUCAGAAAAAUAAAAACCCGCGGGUACCCGACCCGCAGGGUAUAUUUUAUAAAUAUUUAAAAAGUAGGGAUCAUUUUAUAAUUUUGUAAUUUUUAAUCCUAAGUGCAAGUGAAGUGGCUCGCAGCCUCAUAUUCUAAUCCUAUAUGAUCUACUCUUCUCAUUUUUUUUGAAGAAAGUGAAUAUUCUCGGUGAAACAUGAACAAAAUGAAAAAAAAAAUUUGUGAAACUCUGUUAUAAAAAUUGUUCAUCCCUUUCAUCUUUUUUAUUUUUAUUCUAUCUCCAUCGAUCUUUCCUGCAAAUCUUGCAUCAAUUCAAUCAAAGAUUUUUGUUUGGAGUCUCAAUUUUCUGUUAGCUAGAUAAUUAAAAUAUUUGUGUCAUUCAUUUGCAAUUAUAUCUCUUAAAUUUGUCUCUUUUAUUUAGUGUAAGAAAUUUAUUUUUCUUUUUCAUCACCUUAAUACCAUAAGGUCUAUUCCAAAGAUGUAAAAAAGUUGGGGAAGAUUUUUAACAUUAUUUUGGUUAUAUUUUUUUCAAAAAUAAUUAGUUCUAUUCAAUUCUUUUCCGAACUUGAUUUCACAAUUGACUUAUUUGAGAUGCGGUCUUGUACCAUAAUAUCCUUGGGGAAGUUACCAAAUACUUAUUAUCCUUGUGUUUGUUGUGUUGUAGAGGUAUGAAAUGUGUGAAAAUGGUGAUGUACUCAAAAUUAUUAUGAAACUUCGUUUUGUCCAUUAGAUAUUCUAAUAUGUACUAAAUUUAUGAGAUCGAUUUGAUUAUUGGAUGAAAUGUGUGAAAAUGGUGAUGUAUGGACUUUAAUUACAAUAUCUCUACCAAUAUUAAUUGGAAAAGCAUGUUUUUUUUAUUGAAAAACAUGUUGAUAUUAAGUAGAAAAUAAAUUUUUUUUAUUGAAAAAUAGUUUUUUUUAGGGGCGGGUACCCUAUGACCCGCCCCUUUUUUUCGGGUACCCGCUAUUCGGGUACCCGAAAAUAUUAGGAGCGAGUUAGGGUCGCAAAAUGGCUGAUCCGAUAUAUUAGGGUCGGGUCAGCCAAAUCAUGUUAGGGGCGGGUACCCGACCCGUGCCCACCCCUAGUUGGCACCACAUGUUCUAUACGGUAGGAGAUGAAGGGUUCAAACCACGUAAUGCACUCAUAUGAUUCGAUAGUGUUUCAAUCUCCGUUGGUUCCGUGAUUCUGUUAGAUCACCUCCCUUACAAUUGACAAAAAAAAAAAAAAAAAUUUCACCAUUCACCAUUUCACUUGAUUCUUCUUUUUUCUAAAAUCCAAAAACAUAUGUUUUUCUCUCUUCUAUUGUCACUCUAUUCCACUAUUCUGAUUUCCAUUAUCAUUCUUGACUCUUAUGUUAUCACUCUAUUCCACCAUUUUGACUUCCAUUAUCACUUCCACGACCUCUUUUCUUUCUCCCUCCCUCUCCCAACGCUUUCUCCUCCUCCUUCUUCCUUCUCUUUCUCCUAUCAUUGCUCAUUUGAUCACCCUCUUUUCCUCUUUCCCUUCCCUAUGUCUUCACCUUCACCAUUUCUCCCAACUUUUCUCCCUACAUUUUCUCUUCUUCCCUACCCCGGUCUCCUCUCACCUAUUGAUCUAGUCAUAAAACUAGAUUAGAUCUGGUCUCAUGACCAAAUUGAUGAGUGAAAGGAACAGAGAGGAUAAAAAACUUGGGUGAUAAAGAAAGGGAUGGAGAAAAGUUGAGGAAAUGGAAAACAAGAAAGAAGAAGGGAACAAGUGGUGGGUGGGUAAAUGAGAAAGAAUGAGAGGGAAGGAAAAGAGUGGUGGCGAGCAAAAAAAUGGGAAGGAGAAAAAGAAUGUAGGGAAAGAAGUAGAGGAGAAAGUACAAAGGAGAAAAGGUGACAGCGGAGAAGUAAAAAAAAGGUCGAGGAUGGUGGUGACGUGGGAAUGGUAGAGCAAUAUGGCAGUAGUGGAAGAGCAAAAUGGGUGUAUGUCUUUUUGGAUUUAGGAAAUUAGGGUUUAAAUGGAAAGAAUUAGAAAUAUUGGUAGAUUAAGUGAAAAAUUGGGUCAAUAUUAAGGAAAUUGUCAUAUUUGCCAUUAAAAUUUUGACCAUGUGAUGUGUUCGUAAUAUAUUCCAACCAAAAUUCAACUGGAAAGGUGAUCAAGACAUAAAUGAAUGUUUUUUCUUUUAUUUGUUACGGACUAAAAUCAAUUCAUUUUGAAUAUGAGGAAUUAAAAUUUUACAUCAAUAACAUGUGAGGAGCAAUUGGUGCAAAUUUCCUUUGAAUUUUGAUGUAUUGAAGACUCGUAUAUUAUAAAUCCCAAAAAUUUUUCAAUACAUAUAACUCUAUUUGAGUAGAAAGAAAAUUGUGUGGAAAAUGAAGUAGAAGAAAUAAAAAAAUAUUGUUCUAUUUUCAAUCAAUUACCAAAAAAAAUUUUGAGAAAAGAUGAAAAAAUUAAUGAUCAUUAGUGAUAGUUAUUGUGAGUUUUGCAUUUAACUAGCUAUUUUCAUUUGCAAUUAGGUAAAUUUUGCUCGAUACGAAAUAUAUAAGAAAAAUUUUCAACUUUCUUGUGAACAAAACAUACAUAAGGGGAAAAAGAAUAACUUUUGUUUUACUUUCCCAUACUUGUUUUCCACACAACUUUCAUUAUGGUAAUUUUUUCCACCUAAUGAUAUAACAAUCGUAUAAUUGGAAUAAAUAGAAAAUGAUUUGUUUAAUGAAUGCCCAAUAGGAGUGCUACUCAAUCGAGCAGUUUGAUUCAAACUUGCGAGUAAUUCAAUCAACUUCUCGAAUCGAGCUUGACCAAUGCCAAGGUUGAGCUACUCAUAUUGAGUUUUUGAGUCAAGCUCAAGUAUGUAUAUCAUAUAUUCGAGAGUUUGUCAAAUUCUAUCAAGUACUCGAUGUAAUAUUUAAUUAAUAUAUUAUAAAUAAGUAAAUUACUCUGUUAGAUUGAUUAUUUGCAAUAUUUUACGACCCUAACCGUUUGUCGAGCUCUCGAACUCAAUAUUGAGUUCGCUAACUUCUCAAGCUCUAAUGAGUCAAGUUUGAGCCUUCUGAAUAUUAUGUCAAGUCGAGUUUUGUUCAAGCAACUCGCUCGAGUUUGAGUUCAAUAACUGCUACUAGGCAUCGAUCUCGAGUUCGAGUACGACGAUACUCGAAUUCAACUCGACUCGGUAUCCACCCUUAGUGCCCAGUAAUGUAGUUCAAGUAUUAAAUUUUUGGAAAAAUACAGUUAAUCAAGUCAAGUGUAUAAAUGUAAGGAAGAAUAAUAAUUAUUAGUGUAUAUAUUCACAUGAUAGAUUCGAUGUGAUUUAGGCGUGUUAAUGGAAGUAAGUACCCCGUUAGAAAAAUCCAACAAAAAAUAAUGUAUGAGGUGCUCAAUAUGUUAUAAUCUCAAUCUUUAAUAUCUCGGAAUGGAUGAUGUAUGUUGUAUGUUAUCUUCUAAUCUGUCUGCAUCAUGAUCAGGAUGGAUCAUUAUUGUGCUGAUAGGAACUUGGGGAAAAUAUUUGAGCUGAGCUAGGUUAUGCAUCCGAGCUUUGAAAUUACCAAUAUAUUUUUCUUGGUUGUCAACUGAAGUUUGUGAAAUUUUAAGUCUUCAUAUCAGCUUUUAAAUGGAAGCUCGAAAAGAUAUACUUCCUUGGCCCAAAAGUUUUUCUGUCCAAUCUUACCAUGCAAAGCUAAAAUAUUAGAUUCCAUAAACUGCCUAGUUUUCCUUGACCAAUUAAAAAAAAAAAAACAAGGAGGAAAAUGGAGAGGGGGACAAAUUAUAACGAGGAGUAUAUUAUGCAAUUUUUAGAGUUAGUAUCUUCGUAGGAUUGCUAAUUACUAAUUCUUGAGGUAAUAAUAAUUGGUUAAGGCUUAUAGAAUUGACUUUGAGCCAUGCAAUUUAGUAAUUACAUUAGCUAGUUGUAUGCUUAUAUUAUACACAUAAUAUGUUUUCUUUUCAGUUGUCUAACACGUGAUCGCUAAUCACUCGUUAGUACAUUUAAUUCCACCCUAACUUGUCAAUCACACUCACUUCUACCACUUACCCCUCUAAUGUAUUCAUCUUACAUGCACAAUUUAGCCUAAUUUUUGCAAAGAAUUAACACUUAAAAUUCAUCUUAAUAAAUUUUCACUCGUUAAACGAAAUCCUUUUCUUUAUUUUUACUAUCCAUUAAAACAAAAAGGAAGGGAAAAACAAGCAACCUCUUCGUUAACUUAUAGAUUAUGUUGAGAGAAAGAGUUGGUUCAAAAACCACCUUUCGGUAUUAAGAAUGUGAGUUACCAGUAUUUUAAGGAGCUAGGAAUGAUAAGUUGGGGAGCUCGAAGCUACAGUUUAGUUUAAAUCAACAGGCGGUUGACCCAGGGCUUCAAAUCAGACCCAUUAGAAGAGGGCACGUGGCAAAGAUACUAUUUCUCCUGAGAAAAAGGUAGGAGGUAACAUAAAAAAUUGGUGCACCAGUUAGCAAAGCACGUUAUAAAGUUGCGCCAGUCUUCACGCGUGCGGCCACAUCCAACAAAUCGGGCCCAUUAUUAUAUUGGACCACCGAAACACGGAUACGGCCCUGCUGGCGUCAGUCACACGCCAGACAAGCUCAUGGGACACGUGCCCAGGAAGUAAAGGUUUGAAGAAUUUAAUAUUUGACCAUGAUUUUUUUUUUUUAUUAAUGGACGUAAACCUUAAAGUUUGAGUUAAUUCCUUUGGACCCCGUUAAAAGUUGAAGAAGCUUCCUUUUUGCUUUUUCUAUACUCUGAAAUAGUCUUAUAAAACUUGGAAGUGUGUUUUCAGGAUAAUGGGGUAGUCUUUUGUUAAAGGAGACUUAUUAGUGGCAGCUGGCCUAACUUUUUAAAGCAUAUGGUAUUAAUUAUUUUUUCACUAAUUAUCUUCUAAGGUUAGUCUUGAAGCAUGAUAUUGUUUUUGAUAUAAAUAAGUGAUUAAGAAAACUCAACAUUUUUGAUACCCAUGAGAUACUUUAUAAUUAGGUCAUUGAACUUUUGUAAAAUAAUUCAUUUUAGCCAAUGAACAAUUUUCGCUUGAAAUUGAUGAACAAACUAUCUUAGAGACCGUAUUUUGUCCAUUGAGUCCAAUUUUAGGGCAAUUUUUGCCCUUUUGCGUUGCUGAAUUGCACACCUCCCAUCACCAUGCAAUAUUUUUCUUCACAAAUAGGUACCAGUGAAGCCAAAUAAACAAAAAUUAACAUCAAACGCAACAAUUAAAUCAUAUAUGGAGCCCUCAAUUGGUGGUAUUAACAGAUGAAUUUGGAAAGAGCGAGCAAAAUGUGACAAUUGUGAUUGUUGAAUAAUCAAUUCGAGAUGAGAAAAGUUUAUUUUGUUUCUUUGCUGGUUAGAAAAAGGUUUGAUAGAUUUGGCAUCGGCAACAUUAUAGGUCAGGGUAUAAUCCUAGAAACAUAUGUCGCUUAUCAGGAUUUUUAUAGAUCGUUCACAAUAUAACUCUCACAUCAACAGUGAAAUUCAAACACACAAUUUUUAUAAAAAAAAAAAAAUCACUAAUUUUUAUCAAGUGAGCCAACUUGUGCGGACAAAAAAAGGUUCAAUGAAGAAAAUGAGACAUCUAUAAAAGUUCAAUGCAUGAUCACCGGUGCAAUUCGCCCCAUUCUUUUUUUACUAAUAAAAUGUGAUGCAACAAGAGAUUAUGCAUGUAUCUAAGCGAGCUUCUUAUGUACUGAUCAAAGGCUUUCAUUGUAACCAAUAGUAAUUCCUCACUUGUUCCAAUUUCUUGUGUCGGCUAAUGUAAUGCACGUUCUGUUCUGAGUUCUGACAAAUGACUUUGUACUACUGAACCUAUCACAAAGAGCAGAAUCACAUUCCUCGGAGUCCUCAAAUAACACAUUCUGGAUUUGGUUGACAGCGAGGAAGUCCUCCAUUGCGAAGUCUACAGAUUGGAAGACUCAUCCUUACCUUGAAUUGACUUCCAUGUAUAGGGGAGGCCACAAGAUGACACAUGUAUUUGCACUUUUGCCUUGUUUUACAAUUCAAAGAAAUUUGGAUCUUUAGAAUUGAAAAAUUGUGGAUUCAAAACCUGUUAAGGCUUUGGAAGUUGAAAGGAAGUCCAUAAUUGAGGCCUUGGAAGUUGAAAGAAAGUGAUAAAAUCAAAACCCACUUAAAAUGGUCUGCCACCAUUGAGUUUUCACCAAUCAAUUCCAAGCAAGAAUCAAUUUCUAACGUCAAAACUUCUGAAGGAAGACCGGAGAAAAAAAAAAAAAAAAAAAAGAGUUAGUGCAUAAUUUGGAAUUAUCAGGCAAUCACUUGUACAACCAGGCAUUGACUCAGUAAUGGAAUGCUAUUGUGGUCUAAGAGAUAUACAAGCCCUAGUCAAUUUGUACACCUACCAAACUACGAAAUUUAAAAAGUUUUUAAAACUUGAUUUAAAAAGUUUCAACUAAUUUAUUGGCUAUAGCAAAAUUUUCAACAUAAACUAAUAAAUUUUUUAUAAGUAUUAUGUAUUGAUCUCCUCAAGUUUAUAUUAUUGGUCUAUCUGUCAGUUCUCCUGUUAACGGGGACAGAACCACAAUAGUUCCAAAAUUUCAUUGUGCCCCCGCUUAGAUUUUUAUAAUUCUUAUUUGGGCUAAGAAUUUUACCUUAAAAAUUUAUUUUAAUCGAACAUUUGCCGCCCACCCAAAAUAUUAGAGAACAAUAUUAGACGUUAUUGUCAUACAUUUUAUUUUUGCCUCCACAAAUUUCAAAAUUUUAUUUACAAGUAUAAAUUUUUAACUCAAGAAAUACACUAAUAGUAUAUAUAUAUACACUAUCACCGUUAGAUCCAUGACAUAUUUGUAAAAGUUUAAUUUCAAAUUUAAAUUUUGUAUAAUUGUCAUUCAUUGAAAACUGACAGUGUAUACGUUAUGAAUGUAGAAAAAAAAUUAAUCCUUAAGUUUUUACCCUCCAAACCUUCGAAUUAUAUGUUUUGUCAAAAACAUUAUUGAUGUCAGACAUUCCAUGUUUCCUCCCCAAAUUCAAAAGGGAUAAUUUCAGAAAUCUUUCCUGAGGUUUCUCAUAAUAUCAAUGAUCUCCCCUGAGAUUUUUAACGUCUCACUUACCUCCUUUGAGUUGACAUUUCUUAUACCAUUUUAACCCCCUUUGGAGAAAAUGCAAAAAGAUAACACUUUUGUUCUAAUACUACUCUUCUGUUAUCUUACUUAUGAAAUUUAUAACAAUAAUAAAAAAUAAAAUAAGGUGUAAAUUUCUUAACGGAAACUAUUUAUUUUAGUUAUAUUGGAACAAAAGCAAAAUUCACACAUAUUAAGGGAUUAUUUUAGUUUUCAAUACAACUUCAACUACACCAUGAAUUAAAACAUAUUUCCCCAGAAUAUAUCUGGACUUCCUUAAUUGUAACUUAACUAUGCACGAAAAUUUUAAGGUAUCAAUUACUCACAAAAAUCCUCCUAAGUGGUUGACCUUGAUUAAAUUUAAUUCAUCUACGUCCUUUGCUAUUCCACCACAACCUCAAUAUAAAUAAUAUGGACCAUUAUUAACUAGCAAUUUAUUUUUUUUAAUUUACAUUUUUUGGUUUUAAAUUUUAUUUUGUUUUGGUUUUGUGGUUAAAUAUUUAUUAAGAGCAAGGGCAAUAUUAUCAAUUUGUGACUUUUAAUAGGAAUAUUUAGUCUUGCCAAGUUAACAAGGGCGGUAAGUGAGAUUUUAAAAUUUUCAAAGGAGUUGAAUGAUAUUAUGACGGACCUCAGGGGAGAUUUAUGAAAUUAUCCCAAUUCAAAAUUAUGCUUUCGUCAUUGCCUGUUAAUAAAUUGUUGUCGUUUCGGCUUGAUUUAGGCUGCAAAAAUGAUGAUAUUGGAGUUAAAAUGGGUUUGAGAAGGAAAGUGAUUGAUUUGGUUCGUUAGGGGUGCAAACGAGCCGAGUCGAGCCGACCUUUGGCCUAAUCGAGCAGAGUCUCCAGUUAAUUUUGUGAAACUCGAGCUCAGCUCGACAUAGUCAAAAUGUCAUGCUCGAGCUUAAAAAAUAAAAAAUAAUAGUAAUAAAUUUAUUUUUUAAAAAUAAAAAAUAAAUAAAUAUUUUUAAAAAUGAAUAAAAUAAUAAUUUUUUAAUAAAUAAUAAAAUAUUAAGAAUAUAUGUGUAAUUUUACUAUUAAAAUAAAAAAUAAAAAAAAUAAAAAAUAUAUAUAAUUGAGCUUGCGAGCGACGAGUUUAAUGUUUUUGAACCCGAGUUCGACUUAAUUAGCUCGAACUCGACUCGAACUCGAUAUUGAUCGAGCUCGUACACAAGCCGCUGGCGAGUCAGAUUCGUGAACACCCUAGUUUGAACGUGAACUGCUGAGAAAGGGCUCAAAAUGGCACCUCCCUGUAGAAUGCAUUGGGCUAAGACCUAAAGUUGAGGCUGAAAAUACUUCGGGUGGGAUCCCGAUUGCAGUACCAUCGCACUUUUAGUAAAUCCGAAGGCAUAUCUUUUCGUAUGAAACUCAAAAUUGAGUAUCGUUUUGCUUGUGGGGAUAGAAACUAGAUCCAAAAGACUUUUAACUUUAUAUAUAAAAAAAUAAAAAAAAAAUCUUACAAUAGGAGUUCUAUAUCUAUAAGAAUAUUUCAUGGCAAGAGGAUACACAAUGAACCCUUUUUCCUCGAAAGUGGUCUAUUGUUCUUUCAUCCAGGGCUUGAGCACGAGCAAGUUAUAUAUAGAUUUUGUUUGAAGGAACGAAAUUUAGAGAGAGAGUUUUGGGAAGAUUUUCUUUAUUUCUCUGAUGCAGACUAAUGAUGGUACCGAUGCCUAUUUAUAGGCUUUACACAAGAAGGUCAUUGAUUAUCCUCUCACCUAUCAACCACUAACAGAUAUCUAUCAACCACUAAUAGAUAACAAUCAUUCCUAUCAUAUCUCUAAUUGAUAUACAUUCAAACAUUAAGAAUAUUCACGAAUCUUAUCUGAUACCAAUUACAAUUCAAUCCAACACUCCCCCUCAAGUUGGUGCAUAGAUGUCAUGCAUGCCCAACUUGCCGAGUGAGUUGUAAAAGUCCUUAGUCGGCACGGCUUUUGUGAGUAUAUCAGCUAGUUGAUCUUCAGAUCUCACAAACGGAAGCCGUAUUAUUUUUUCUUCAAGAUUCUGCUUGAUAAAGUGCCGAUCGACCUCAACAUGCUUAGUACGAUCAUGUUGAACUGGGUUAUGGCUGAUAUCGAUAGCAGCUUUGUUGUCACAAAAUAAGUUCAUCUCAAAUCUAGGAGAAAAACCGAUAUCGGCCAUCAACCGUUUGAGCCACAGAAGCUCACACAUACCUUUAGCCAUGCCUCUAAAUUCAGCUUCUGCACUCGAUAAUGCUACCACCUUUUGUCUCUUGCUUCUCCAAGUAACUAGAUUACCACCGACGAAUGUAAAGUAACCUGAGGUUGACUUUCGAUUGGUAGCAUCUCCUGCCCAAUCGGCAUCAGUGUAACCAUCAAUAUUAAGAUGACCAUUUUUGGAAAAUAAGAGACCCUUCCCAGGAGAACCCUUUAAGUACCGAAGAAUUCUCAUCACAGCUUCCAUGUGCCGAUUACUGGGUGAAUGCAUAAAUCGGCUGACCACACUAACAGAAUAGGCAAUAUCGGGCCGAGUAUGUGACAAGUAGAUCAGCUUACCGACCAAUCUUUGAUAUCUCUCUUUGUCAGUUGGUUUCUGAUAUGGAUAUUCUCCUAACUUGUGGUUUAGCAUAAUUGGCGUGUCAGCAGGUUUGCAAUCCAGGAUGUGAGAACCCGUAAAUCCCUAAUAAUUUUCUUAGGGUUUAUUUCCUUUAAUGGCAUGAUUUCUGCAUUUUCUGGCUUAGAAAUAUUUUCUUAGUGGAUUUUACGAGUAAAUAUAGUUUUUAGAUGAUUUUUCUUGUAACGAAUAGAUUUUGAGAAAUUAAGAACGUAUAUCAGGCGUGGGACCCACUAGUGCGAAAUGUUCGGAAAAAUUCGGCCAAUUAGGUUAAAUUCCGGAUACUGUGUAAAAUUUAUCGGGUGUUAAGAGAUAAGUAGAGUGUGUGAAAUGAUUGAUGUGAGAGAGAAAAGAAAGGAUAGGAUUGCAUUAAUGGUGUGACAAGUGUCACCAUCUUAUGGGUUGAAGCUUAUGGAACACUAUUCAUUUUUUUUGACUUUUGACCAAAAUUGGUUAAAUAUCUAAAAAUUUCACAAAAAAUCCCCAUUUUCUCACCUUGGAUGGCCGGCCCUCUUACCUCAAGAAGGAAGAGAACUUCAUCAUUUUGCAAGCUUCCAUUUGGUUCAAUCUUCCAUAAACAAAAGCUUAGACUAGAUUUCACUCCAUAAAAUCCUAUCUUCUAGUGCUAGUAAGGGUUGUAGUGAAAUUUGUUUGAAGCUCUAAGGUGGCCAACCUCUCUACACCUCUUGUUCUUAGGUAAGUGAUGUUUUACUACUUCCUUAUACUUAAUGAUGGUUAUUUUGUGCUUAAGGGUGGCAUAAGUGUUGGAAUAUAUGAUUUAUUUCUUGAUUUGAAGAGUUUUGGUGAAGUUUUCCAUUUUGUGAUGAAUUUUCUGGUGUAAUAUGAAAUGAAUGUUGUGGCCAUCUUUGAUGAUUGGCAAUGGACUAUAAUGGCUCUAGUAGGUAUGUUUGAUAAGUAUUUGCAAUCAAUUUUGGAUUUGGAUGGAAAAUGGAAAGUUAGGGUUCUUAUUAUUCCCAAUUCUGUCCGGUUUUAGAUCACUGGGUUAAAGGCCGAAUUAGACUUUGCUCAAAACAUGAAAGUUGUAGGUAUUGAUGUGUUUGAGGUGCCUGUAAAAUUUCAGGGCAUUUGGAUUAGUGUAGAGUGAGUUAUGACGAAAUUACUGUAGCUAUUCUGCUUUGGACAGAAUGCGAAAACUGCGUUUGUAGUUGGCCAUUUUGACUGGAAUUGGUUUGGAUUUUGAAGUUGGUGUCUUCUGAUGAAAUGUAGCUGAAUGUCUUAGCUAACAUAUGCCUUUGGAAUUUCGGCAUUUGGACUAGUAUGGACUGAGAUAUACCGAUUACAGUUUUCUGUGUUUUGCAAACCUGUUUUGGGAAUUCUGGUAUAGUAUUUCGUAUUUUUGACCUAGUUGGGCCAGGAACUGGAUUGAGUGACCUUCUACAUUGUUGUGGCCCUGUUUCAUAGCUUCGAAACGGUGGGUCUUACACCCCCAUCCGAUAAUCGUAGUGAAAUUGACGCCAUUACCGCAUUAGGAGGUCAAAACUGUUUUUAUUGUUGGAACAAAUGAGUUACAUUUCCUGAUUUUCUGGUUUGCUUUAAUGCUUAUUUAUGCAUAUGAAACCUUACUGGGGUUGUGGUUGGCAUGGUUAUAUGACUCGUCAUCGAGUCUCUUUUGGGGCUUGCUUUCAUUUCGGUUGUUUCCUAGCUAAGUUUUGUACUUGUACUACUUUGAGCCUAGUGAACGGCUUUUGGGAAAUGAGAUGACUUUUGUGUGAAAUGUUGGGACUGAUUUGAGGAUAUAAUGAAGCCUUAAUGGCUGGAAAAGUAAGAAAUUUAGGGGAAGUGCUGCCCAAUUUUCUAGGUCGUUUGGUUUCUUUAAGUUGGAUUGGCCUUUUUGUGGAAAUGAAAGGCUUUUGGGUUGUUUGUGCCUAAGUCUUCAUACUAACUUUUCGUUUUCAAGAAAAUCAUGUUUUUGUACCCUUGCAUUAGUAUGUCUCACUUGUGCAUUCCGUUUAUUCGAUUUUAGAUAUGAAACCUUCAAUUGGUUUAUUUUGAUUAUUUUAGGGUUUCUUGGCGAUUAAGGCCAAUCUGAAGUGAAACUUUUUGAAGUUGAAUUGGUGAAUGUACCACUCCCCUUCAUUGCUGUUUAACUUGAUUUCUGCUCUGUAAUUUGUUAAAUUUGUUUGAGACGAGGGUGUACUUUAUCACACUCGUUCUUUUAUCUGUUCAUAUGCCAAUUUUGAGUGCCUAUCUGAAUCUGCCGUCUGAAUCUGCUAUCUGAAUCUGCUAUUCUGUAUCUGUAUCUGAAUCUGUUAUCUGUAUCUGCAUCUGUUCGGAUUUCUAUGACUUAUGAGCUCAAUCCUGUGGCUAAGUUAUUCGAGUCGGGUCGGCAAGGGCCUGGACGAUUAGAUAACGAACCACGGUAGUCUGUUCGGGGAUUUUUGGGUAUUGAGACCCUUGAUUCCGGUAUACUCGAGUAUUACCAUUUCUGUUCGGUUACGGUGAGCGGGCCCGGUAAAGGGGUGUUUGGUGGACGGAAUUCGGUGUAAAGAGGGGUCUACGGACGCGUUGGUUCUAUAUGCGUUGACGGAGAGUCAACCGGUUUGGAUCAAGUACUGCACUGGAAAUUUGGCUCCUGAGAGCCACCCGUAUCCUUCUGAUUUGACUCAUUAGUUCCUUUGCUUUACAUCUGACAUGUGUAUCUGAUUUGUAAAAUGUGAAAUGCCAUGACUUUAUUGCUAUCUGUUUGGUACCUCAUUGAGCGCAAGCUCACCCCGUUCUGUUCCUUUUGUUUUCCUUACAGGAAAAAUAAAUACUUUUGGACUGGAUUUGAUAAUCGGUUGCCGACUUGAGCUAGUUGGACAUAUCUUUUGUAUAGCUCAUGUAUUAAAACCCUAAAUGUACUAUUGGUCCGUUUCUCUUUUGGAUUUGGCAAACCGUACAUGUAUCCACUUUUGAAUCACUUUGGUAUGCCCCUUUUGGGAAGUAUAUGCUAACUUGUGAGAUGUAAAUAUUUGCUUGACGUUUGGUUGGGUUUUGACGUGUCGGUUCCUCUUCAUGGCCGACUCCGACUUUGUUUUUUCCUUAUUUUGUGGAUUCGACUGGUUUUCACGCGGUUGUAUGACCCGAAAAGUAUUAGAUCGCGCUAAUCUGAUCCGUAGUCCUGGCGAGAGCUGGGCAGGCAGUCCGCCAACCCCUUUGGUUCGCCUUAGGGGAAAGUGGGGCUGUCACACAGGAGCCCAACCUCUGCCAACAGAUCAAGUACAUACUUCCUCUGGGAUAGGACGAUGCCUUGUGCCGAUCUCGCCACUUCAAUUCCCAGGAAAUACUUGAGAUUCCCCAAACUCUUCAUUUCAAAUUCAGCCGCCAGCUGAUUUUGUAGUUUGGAGAUUUCCUUUUCAUCAUUGCCUGUGAUAAUCAUAUCAUCGACAUAAAUUAUUAAGGUAGUUACCUUUCCAUGCUGAUGUUUUAGGAAAAGAGUAUGGUCAGCAUUACUCUGCUGAAAACCAUACUUCUUCAUAGCUAGCGUAAAACGGCCGAACCAAGCACGUGGUGACUGUUUGAGUCCAUACAAUGCUUUCUGUAAUCGGCACACAGUAGUUGUUUUCGAUACUGUAGAACACCCUGGUGGGAUAUCCAUGUAGACUUCCUCCUCCAGAUUCCCAUGCAGGAAAGUGUUCUUCACAUCAAACUGAUGCAAUGGCCAAUCCAAAUUUGCCGCAAGAGAUAUCAGUACUCUAACCGUAUCCAAUUUAGCCACUGGUGAAAAAGUUUCCUGGUAAUCGAUGCCAUAGGUCUGAGUGUAUCCUUUAGCCACGAGACGAGCUUUAUAUCUAUCGAUUGAUCCAUCAGCCUUAUACUUGAUUGUGAAAACCCAUUUGCAUCCCACCGUCCUCUUCCCAUCUGGUAAUGGGACCAAAGUCCACGUGUCAUUUUUUUGCAAUGCCAACAUCUCAUCCUUAAUUGCUUGAGUCCAGUUUGGAUCUUUGAAAGCAGCAUGCACAUCUUUUGGAAUGUCAGUUGACGACACAUUAUUCACAAAGGCUUCAAGAGGUUCAGAUAGCCUGUGAGUGGACAUAUAAUUGGCAAUGGAAUACUUUGAUCGCUUUGCAUGACUUUCUGGAGAGUACCGAGUCGGUGGCUUACCCCGAUUGGAUCUGUCAGGUAAUACAUAUCUUGCAGUAGUAUCUAACAUAACAUUAGAAUCAGCAGGAGUACUUACCUCAGGAACAUUCUCAGGAGACAUGCAGUUAGGUACUGAAGAGGGAGGGAUUAUAUCAACAAUUUCAUCAGUAGCAUCAGCAUUUCCAUCGGCAGCUCCUCCAUCGACGGCUCCAUGGACAAAAUCAAUAGGACAGCUAGCAACCAUACUUUCAUCAGCAGCUUUAUCGGUUCCAUCGACAGGGGGCUCCGUGGGCUCGGCAAUGGGAGAAACAGUAGCUUCACCGACAGAAUCAGUGGGACAGCACGGCCACGCUAAUCCUGGCCAAUUCUUUUCUUCUGUAUCCCUUGUCUCCCCCUGAAGGGAAGAAUUGGAUGCCGAGGAGAAAAAUGUGUCCGACUCCAAGAAUGUAACAUCCAUGGUUUCAUACAUCUUGCUAGUGGUUGGAUCAUAGCACCGAUAGCCCUUCUUGUGCACUGCAUACCCCACGAAGACACAACGAACAGCACAGGGAUCAAGCUUACUUCGUUGAUUCUUGUGCCGAUGAACAAAUGCUACACAACCAAACGCCCGUGCCGGAAGCAUUAGAACCGAUGGUAGAGUGAAAUGUUGAGACAGUGCUUGCAGCGGUGUCUGGAAGUUGAUAACUUUUGAAGGCAGUCUAUUCAAUAAAUAGACUGCUGUUGUGACUGCAUCAUUCCAAUAUCGGCGAGGAACAUGGGCACCAAUCAGUAAUGCUCUUGCUAUUUCAAGGAUAUGUCGAUUCUUUCUUUCAGCUACUCCAUUUUGCUGUGGAGUUUGGGUGCAUGAUGUUUCAUGUAUAAGACCAUUGAUAUUAAAGAACUCUUGUAGUGGCCGAUUAACAUACUCACCACCAUUAUCAGAUCGAAGAAUCUUGACUGUUGCUGAAAACUGUGUAUGAAUCAUGGAACAAAAUGACUUGAAAAUAUCAAGAACUUCAUUCUUAUGUUUUAACAAAUACAACCAAGUCAUUCGAGUACAGUCAUCUACGAAAGUUACAAACCAACGGACUCCAGUAGAUGAAGUGAUCGGGGAUGGUCCCCAAACAUCAGAAUGUACUAAAGCAAAAGGUGUAUUCGACUUAUUCAAACUGACAGGAUAUGAGGCCCUAUGACUUUUGGCUAAUACACAGGUCUCACAUUUUAAAUCGGCAGUUUUGAUACUCGAAAAAAGUGCUGGAAAAAGGUGCUUCAUAUACCCAAAAGAAGGAUGUCCUAGUCGCUGAUGCCACAAUCGAAUCUCUCGUUCUUUGGUGUUAUCGGUACUCCUUGUCUGAUUGGCUCUACCGAUACUGAAAUCAUCAAUGUAAUAUAGAUCCCCCCUCCUAGUACCACGACCGAUUAUCUCCUUUGUGAGAAUUUCCUGAAGAAGACAGAAGGUUGGAUACAUCAGUACCAUACAGUUAAGAUCAGUAGUUAUUUGACUUACUGAUAGUAACUUAUUUGACAGUGAGGGAAUCAAUAAAGUAUUCGGUAGAGAUAAAGACGGAGAUAAAGUAACAGUUCCAGCUCCUGUAACUGGAUACUGCACACCAUUAGCAUUGGAAAUUUUCGACCGUCGUGGUUGAGUUACGGAUGAGAAGUCAGUUGGAUCAUAGGUCAUAUGAUCAGUGGCUCCUGAAUCGACAAUCCAAUUACUAUCGCGUCGAUGUGAGGAGUUCAUACCUUGAUGCUGAUUGGUAGAAGACGUAGAGUGCACCUGGGCAAUAUUGAUAUCAGCAACUGCAACGGCCACCUUUCCAUUCUGACCAGCAACAUUCAGUCGAUCAGCGGGCCAAUUUCGCCCUUUGCGCUCUUUCCACCAGGUUGGAUAUCCGUGCAACUUGAAGCACGUAUCUUGUGUGUGCCCUUUCUUAUUGCAGUGGGCACAAUUAACUUCCUCAGUUGGCAUCUCGGCUCGGGGUACUAAAAUCGGCUCAUUCUUCCUUCCCUUGGAAGCCAUGACAGAGCCGAUUGAGUGGUCUCCCCCUGUUAUCAUCACCGAUUGUCUGCUGUCUUCUCGUCGGACAUAGGCAUAUGCCUCUUCUACUGUUGGAAAUGGUUUCAUCCGCAGAACAUCACUGCGAAUCUGGUCCAGUCGGUCAUCUAACCCAUCGAGGAAAGUGUAGACUCUCUCUUCCUGUAUGAGAGAAUUAUACCUGCUGAUAUCGGCAGCACAUUCCAUCGGGUUCGGCCGACGAAAAUCGAUCUCCCUCCACAAACCUUGCAAAUCGUUGUAGUACUUUUCGAUCAGCCCACCAGCUUGUCUCAGUCUAGUCACCUUCCGCCUCAGAUCAUACAGUUGGGAUGUAUCGGUUCCAUCAAAGUAUGUGGUAGCAAUAGCAUCCCAUACCGCUUUUGCUGUGGGAAAACGAACAAAGGUACCGAUCAAGGAUGGAGCCAUAUUAUUUAUCAACCACCCUUUCACGAUAGAGUCUUCAGUUCGCCACCGUCGAUACGCUGGAUCUGUUGGUGACGGCUGAGGGAGUUCACCAUUAAUAUACCCCAAUUUGUCCUUCCCUGAGAUAUACAUCUCGACAAUUUGGGACCAUAAGGCAUAGUUGGUAUCAUCCAACUUGAUGCCGAUCUGAGCCGAAGACGAAUCCAUGCUCGGUGUAGACUUCUGGCAGCUAUUCAGGACUUCCAUCAUCCAAGUGGCAAAAUCCUCUAGAACUACGUCAGCUUGUCCUUUCCCACCGUCCGUGAGCGUAGACGAUUCGGCCAUGGCUGGUUGUUGAAGAAAUUAUCAGAGUAACACUUUGGAGCAGAGAUCCUAGAAUCCCUGCUCUGAUACCAUGUUUGAAGGAACGAAAUUUAGAGAGAGAGUUUUGGGAAGAUUUUCUUUAUUUCUCUGAUGCAGACUAAUGAUGGUACCGAUGCCUAUUUAUAGGCUUUACACAAGAAGGUCAUUGAUUAUCCUCUCACCUAUCAACCACUAACAGAUAUCUAUCAACCACUAAUAGAUAACAAUCAUUCCUAUCAUAUCUCUAAUUGAUAUACAUUCAAACAUUAAGAAUAUUCACGAAUCUUAUCUGAUACCAAUUACAAUUCAAUCCAACAGAUUUGUCCUUCACAUCUAAUAGUGGAUGAUGAAAGUGAAAAAUAUAUAUAUAAAUAUAUAGAUUCUACUCAACUCAAAGUGAAUGCCAGUCAGUCGCUGCCAGAUAAAGCUGCAAUCUAAGUGGUAGAAAGAAAACCUGAAUGGAAGAUAGAUUUGUCUCUAAUACAUACCCUUAAUUCCUUGAGUUUGACAACUUGCAAGAGCCAAGAAAAGGUACACUAGAAGUUGAAGCUUUCUGAUAGAUUUCGGUGGUUUUUUGAUCAUUUUUGAAGCUAAGGCCAUGUGGAACGUAAAUGAACCUAAAUCUAACAGGCAUGGAGUAAGGAACACUCCCAUUUUCAACUCCAUCAGGCAUAGUUUGGCCAGUCGGUCAUUGGUGCCAUUUCAAGGGUACAUGGCUUAAUAAGCAAUUGUGCGUUCACCUUUUGCAACCUAUAUACAAGGAGCUAAGCUAAUAAACGUUAUCGAAGCACAACUCUCCAACAUAUAUAGCUGAAAACUGCAUUAAGAAUCAAGAACGAGAAUCAAUGGCUCCAGCCAUGAUUCGCCAUCUUCUUGCAAGCGUUGUUCUCCUUAUGGCGGUCAUGGCAAACGGGCAACCCACGGGCUCCAAACAUCGGACGGCUAGAUGUGCUGACAGGAAAUUCAGUGCAUGUUACAGUCAGCCGGCACAGUACUGCCCCGCUGAAUGCCCAAAUUACUGUGCAGUUGACUGUUUUAGAUGCCUACCUGUUUGUGUUCCAAAGCCACCUCCAGGUCCACCACCACCACCAAGACAAAGACGGUCACCGCAUCCACCUCGUCCUCCACCACCACCAAGACGAAGACGGUCACCGCCUCCACCUCGUUCUCCACCACCACCACCUCAUUACCAUCAUUCCCCACCUCCUCCUUUCAAUGCUCCACCAUCACCCCCUACUUCGAAUUCCACCCCACCUCCACUGACACCACCAACUUCGAGUCCUCCUCCACUAGCGACUCCACCACCUUUGAGCCCCCCUCCAGCGUCAUCUACACCUAGUCCACCACCAGAAGUAUCUGGAAAAAGAGUCCACUGCAAGAACAAAAAUUACACCAAGUGCUACCGCAUGGAACAACGUUGCCCAAGUUCUUGUCCAGACCAAUGUGAGGUUGACUGCGUCACCUGCAGUCCUGUUUGUAGUAAGUCCCGUUUCUUCUAGUUUUAUUAUCUACUUUUCUGGUCAAUCAAGGAAAGAAAAAGAAAAAUCACACUUCGUUUUGUUAGGAUUCGUAGAACUUAAAAUGGUUGUCUGAAACUAGGGUGAUUUCAUGUAUUGAUGUCUUUGUUUCUUUCCAAAUUCUACUGUAACAAAAAACAUUAUAGGCUAAUCAAAACAUCCUAUUCUUCAUGUCCAGACUGCAACAAGCCAGGGGCUGUCUGCCAGGAUCCACGAUUUAUUGGGGCUGAUGGAAUUACCUUCUACUUCCAUGGCAAAAAGGAUCAAGACUUCUGUAUAGUUUCCGAUUCUAAUUUACACAUCAAUGCUCACUUCAUUGGAAAGAAAAGCGAGAACAUGACAAGGGACUUUACUUGGGUCCAGUCCCUUGGUAUUCUAUUUGACAACCAUCAAAUAUUUGUUGGUGCUAAGAGGACAGCAACAUGGGACAAUGCAGUUGAUCGCCUAGACCUAGAUUUUGAUGGACAACAAAUACUCCUAUCCGAAGGUGCAGGUUCCAAAUGGCUACCAGCUACAGCACCUGGCGUUUCCAUCACCAGGUCUUUUGACGUCAAUGCUGCAGUUAUAGAAGUGGAAGGGAACUUCCAGAUAAAAGCAACUGUGGUUCCAAUCACAGAGAAGGAAUCAAGGAUACACAAGUAUGGCGUAACUGAUGAAGACUGCUUUGCCCAUCUUGAUUUGAGCUUUAAGUUCUACUCAUUGAGCGGUGCAGUAAAUGGAGUCUUGGGUCAGACAUAUAGCAGCAAUUAUGUCAGUAGGGCCAAGAUGGGGGUGGACAUGCCAGUUUUGGGAGGACAGAAGGAGUUUGCUUCUUCAAGCCUCUUCUCCACAGACUGUUCUGUUGCUCAAUUCAGCGGAACUCCUCCAAUCAGCACUACAAAUAAUGUGGAAUACUCUAACAUGAAUUGUGCAAGUGGAUUUGAUGGCCGUGGUGUGGUAUGCAAGAGAUGAUCAAUCUCUCUUCACUCUUUGACUAAGCAUAUGGUGAAGACAUUGGUUUCAUGUUAUGUACUAUAAGAAAAUAAGGCCAGAUCUCAUAAUAAGAUUCUUAUAUAGUAAAUCUUGAUUUAUCAUAAUAAUUAUUCCAAUAACAUCUUUGUUUCUCCGAGAUGAAUAUCAAAAUAUCCGGUUUUUACUAAUAAAGGUUUAUAAACAAGCAUAAUUGAGAUGCUAAAUUACUUUUAGCAAACUAUUGACGUCUGUUAUCCAUGUUAAGCUUUAAUACCAUGAGUGUCCAGGUUAGUUACCGGGUGCCUAAAAGGAAGCAAUGUUCUUAUACAGUUGAUUAAACAGCAGAUUAUAGAAAGAAAAAAGUAAGGAUUGAUACUACCAGCAGCCAUGAAUGGCUUUGUUUGGAAAGCAAUUUUUUGAAAAAUUGCUACGUUUUCCAUAAACACAUUCUCCAAUCACUUUUUUAUCUCAUAUAUAUCAAAUCGUUACAAUAAUUUUUCUACAAAAAAAUCCAAAAAAUGCAAUCCAAACGAAGGCAGGAAAUUUCUUAAACUAGCAACUCAAGGAGCUCUCCGUUUCUAUUUCACAGGGAGGUAACUGCUUUCUGGGGCAGAAUCCUGCACAUCUAUCUUCUUAGUGUAAUUUACUUCUGUUACAUUAUUCAUCAUUGUUGGUCAUGAGGAAAUAUGAUGGAAGGGUGAAUCUACAAUGACCAAUGAAUUGUUCAAAUCACUCUACAGGGUUUUAGUCAACCCGUUGCUGGAAUUAUUCUCAAUCUAAAUCCUAGAGAUAAUUUGAAAAGCAACUUCGAGUAAGGAUCAGUUAAAAGUCCUUUGACCUUUAAUUCCAAAAAACAACAAAACUUUCGAGGAUUACAACUUUCUCUUUGUACAGUGUACCUUGGAUCAUUCAAUGGUUUCAAAAUUUGAGGUUGCAGCUAUCUACGGCCUUGUUCUAUUUAGCGACUAUCUACCUUGGCUGUAAUUAUAUCACACUCCUUCUCUACAAGAUGGCAAAGAUAGGUUGCAGUCACUCCGUGAUGUCUUCUGUCUGCCACUUCGUCAUGUGUUUGGACACGGUAUAGCAUGUACAUUUUUAAGCAGGGAAUGGCCUGAUGAAUGAAAAAUGUCUUCCAAAGCGCUAUCUUAUAUGCAGGAACUGAUAUAUAAAACUGAAUAUGCCAAGCAUCUCCAGAUCAUGUGUUCUAACAUAUUCAAAAGAAACUGAUUCCCAUCCUUUGACAAGAUCCAACAUAGGACCAGUAAUCAAUUGUUCAUAAGUAACUAUCCCAGGACCAUUGAUAUUCGUAUUAUUAACCAUAAAUACAAAAUUAUUCCAAACUAAAUUUCACAACCAAAAAAAAUAUAUCAUAGGUAUACAAGCUUCCUGAUCAAAGAAAAACUUUAAUUUAGCACUCCAUCCUGCACAAAUUCGUAACAAAGUUCAAAUCUUCAUGACCAUGCUAUUACUUCCUAUCCUUUAGUUUCCAUUACUUGUUGAAUUGAGGCAUUCUUUAAUUAAUUCCUG